Drosophila yakuba is the source of this 809-nucleotide long non-coding RNA. RefSeq lists it as uncharacterized. The transcript has 2 exons. Lineage: Eukaryota; Metazoa; Arthropoda; Insecta; Diptera; Drosophilidae. The record is from RefSeq and is a predicted model, not a curated record.
CUCUUUUAAUCUACGAGUAACAGGUAUAAAAAGGAAUUAUUUUAGCUGAAUGCAACAUGUGAUGUGAUCUUCAUAAAAGCAACUUAUUGCCCGUGUUUCCAAAACUAUUGCACCCAAUUUGCUUCAAUUACCCGACCAAUUACCCAGACACCUCCGCACCGUAGCUGGUGACAGAAACCGCAUGCAAAUAUUGCAAGUUGUCACCGGGGCGAUGCCUCAAUUAGUGGCAACAUGUUGCUGGUGCAACACGACCGCAGGAACACCUCGUCGCCGACUUUUGCAGCCAGUCGUUAAAGCGAGUGGAAAUCACCCGGAGAGUCAGGUGGCCAUCCGUGGGAUCAGCUUGGACGCCACGGAGUGCUGUGCAGCGGAGGUGGUAAAUGAGGAGCGAUUGUUGUCCGUGGGCGGCUUACACCGAAAUCGCAUUAAGUGGCGCGUUGGCAGCGCGAUUUGUCUGAUUUGCAUACAAUAUUAUAGCGAAUAAAUCAUAAUCCGCCGCUUGGCCAUCACAAUAUUUACACAUGCAAUUUGCAUCCGAGUUGCUCCGCAUCUGACAGCAUGUGGCUAACGAGCUGAGCGAAAGGCCAGGAAUCGGCAUCCGGGGCAGCAUCAAUUAAAGCGACAUUAAGGAAACUUCACAGCUCAUGCAUUUAGCAGCGUUUAUAGAAAUUGCCAGCCCACAAACUCCCCCUUUCCUUGUUUAUAGCUGCGAUGCACUCGAAGAAACUCUGGCGCACUUAUUAACCCAUCUGCAUUUUUAAAAUAUGUUUUUGUGUAAAUAAAUUACUUCCCCGAUAAAUGUCUUAAAA